Paramormyrops kingsleyae is the source of this 1080-nucleotide non-coding RNA. The record is from RefSeq and is a predicted model, not a curated record. NCBI's taxonomy places the organism in Eukaryota, Metazoa, Chordata, Actinopteri, Osteoglossiformes, Mormyridae.
CUUAAUGCGCCGCUAGAAUGAUCAUGUGACUCUUGCAAUGGGUAGCUAAGUAAAGAUGCCCGGUCGUAUUCGCCAACAAAGCAAGGAGUGUGUGGACAACCGACAGACCUAGUUCGUUUCGUUUUUUCCUUAUAAGAGGUGAGCCAUUAACAUAAUACACAGAAACGACGCUAAUAUUAAAAGAUUUAUGAGAGCUAGGAACUCUAAGACUAUGUUCGGGAAACACGUCAUCUCAAGAUAUAUUCCAGUUACCUGUGCUGAGUUUCUUUUAUGUAGUUUAUUUUGCCUAAGACUAUAGGCAGUAAGUAGUCAUACACUUGGACGUCAUAUGUUUUUUAUUCCUAGAAGUUUUGUCAGUUUUGUAAUUUCGACAUAACUUGAGCAGACCUUAAUGUGUUUGUUAAAUGCUAUGCUCUUCGUGCCAUAAUAUAUCAGCGCUGCGCAAAUAUAAAAUAGAAAUGGGGCAGACGAAAAUCUUUAAGGUUACAUCAGACCUGUGAUAUGAACAGCCAUGUUGUAUAAUUUUCUCAUUUGUCUCAUGAAAUGGCUGCCAUGUGUUCAGCAGGCUCUUAAAAACAACAUAUUUCCAUUGUUGGAACUAUUUGUCUUUUUGCUAAAUUUUUGAAAAUAACAAUGUUGCUAAUUUAAAAAAAAAUUCAAAAUAUUUCUAUUGAUCAAACCUGCUACAUUUGGAGGAAGGAAUAAGAAGCAACCUUUAAUAACCAUCAGUUACUUUUAAAUCCUUCUUUAUUAUAUUGUUUGUGUUGUAUGUUGUAUAUAUUAUAUUUCCUGUACUGCAGUUAAAGUAAAUUUAUGUUUUCUGUAAGGUGGGCUAAGGAUUAUUACCCAUGCAUCUUCUAACCUUCUAUCCUGGUCAGGAUCACGUGGAGAAAGAUUAUUCAUUUAUUUUUAUUAAUUUUAAAUAAUUGACUAUAAAUCAAUUUGUUUGUGGAAUAUCUUAGUAUUUUGUGACAUUACACACUGACUUUAAAUUUAUGUUAUUACACUGUCUACAUUCUAACUGGUGUAUUAUCUAAAUGAAAAUAUAUUGUGUUCCUGAAGUAAAAAUGCUUUACAUUU